CUUACCUGAGCGCUGCAGCGUCUCCCUCCCGUUUUCCAGGAAUCUGAGAAGCGACUCCAGGCACGUGCCCUGCAAGUAGUUUCUGCAGAACCCUCUGUCUCCCGCCUCCCACUUGCUGCGGGUGAUCUGAGCCACCUCAUCAGCUUCAUCCGCCACGGUCCAGGAGCGCAGGUCCUUGCUCAGGGUCAGGUAAUCUGCGCCAUCGUAGGCGUGCCGGCUGUACCCGCGGAGGAGGUGCCCAUCGGGCCCCACGUCGCAGCCGUACAAGUUCUGGAAGGAUGCGGGGAUUUUUCACACCUGGGGCAGGGUCCACCCUGAUUGGAUAGCUCUCAUGGUGCCAGGGUCACCUGAGGCUUAUCCAUAUAAACAGUAAACAGGGGAGCCUGUCUCACCUUUGGGCUUCUUCAGAGAAGGUCUUUUCCUGCACCGGGUUCUUCAUCAGAGGCAGCUGACCGUCAAGCCUGUCCUCCCAUCCUGGCCCAUGGUUUGGGCUGGCCCCCUCCCUCUCUGGAGAGUGGGACAGUCCCUCUUUUCAGUGCCCUGUACGAUGGCACUGAAAGCAUGGCCCUGGGGACAGCUUCUUGCAGCUGAGGUGUCCUGGUUGCUGGCAGUGGAAGCAAGCUGGCAGCCCAUAGAGAGGUUGAGGUCCCGAAUGCCCUAGGGCGCGUGGGGCCUUGGGAUGCGGGACUUUUCACACCUGGGGCGGGGUCCACCCUGAUUGGAUAGCUCUCAUGGUGCCAGGGCUUGAGGAGAUGCUUCCCUGCUUUCCUGAGCCUCCCUGUCCAGGACUGCACAGCUCUUCAUACUGGACAGGGUGUCUCUGUCCACAUCCUUGACCCCUCCCCUUCUGCUCCCUCCUGUGCAGCCUGUAAGGCAAGUGAUUGUCAGGCUUUUCUGCCCUUCCGCCAUUAGGAUUAAUGAUGGUGGACACCAGGGGUGGGGUGUGGGCAUGCAUAGGUAGGUAUCCCUGGGCUGAGACUUGCUUACAAGGGCGGUGUCACGGAGACGCCAGCAGAAGAGCAGCAAGAGGAGAAGAGGGCAGAAACAGCAGAGCAGCAAAGGAGAAGCAGGACCACGAGAGAAUGCCAGAGAGCCCAGAAAGAGUGAGGACUCACCAGGGGCUGGGAGGCCUGCCACCUCCCAACCUCUGGCACCCCUCCCUGCCGGUGUACCUGAUAAAAAGCCCAUUAAAAUCCUGAAAAGCCACCGCAGCUCCAGGACUCUCCUCCUUUACCCAUCUGCAUAGGUUCAUGGAGAUCCUGCACUGGCACUACAUUGGCAUAGUUGGCAGAUGUUAUGGAGCCCUCCAAAGGCCUCAGGAGGGCCUGAGGAGAAGCUGGCCAUGAGCCUGCGACAACACGGGAGGCGCCAUGGCGGCACAGGUGGUGACCAAAGAGCAGGAGCUACGGGAAGAGUUAAAGAUGCUGCAGGAGCAAAGGAGGAGAGGGGCCCUAAGAGGACCAGACCAUGACCCCUGAGGCAGCAGAAUCUUGGUGAAAGAAAGGCGCAUGAUUUGGAGGUGGCCAGUGCUGGUGCAAGGAAAAGACUGAUGGACUGACAAUUCCACCAGAAGGCCGAAGAACCUUGAAAUGUUGCCACUGUAAUCUCCCCAGAGAUCUCUCACCCACAUCUGUUCCCAGCGUCUCUCUCCAUGUCCCCCAAGUCGCUGGCACAAGUCCAAGGCUGAGAAGUAAUCACAGUUUCUUCACCUGUUCCCAGCUUUGCUGCCAUUAGAGCCUGGAAGGGAAGGUGAAGACCUGAAACUGGGCACCUCCCUGAGCUGUGUAAGAUGUGGGCAGUUUGUCAGGCCAUUUGGCUACUGCAGCUGCUUUUUCAAUGCUGAUUGUCUGGUUCUGUGCUGACCCCUCUCAGCAGCUCCAUGGAGCGUCUCAUGUUGUGUCUUCUGCUGGCUUAGUGAGCUGGAUACUGGCCUGUUGUCUGGCUGCCAUAGGCUCCAGGCCGUCAGUGGCAGGAAGAUAUCCUUUUGGGAGCCAUGUCUUUUUUCAGGAUAGGUUUGAACAUCUUCAGUGGCAGGUGGGUGCCAUCUUAGAUGCCUUUUGUUCAGGACUUCAAAACACUGGACACUACUUGGGGUGAGAUAAGCAGCCCUGCCGGGGACCAGCCUCCGGCAAAACGUCGUGUCAGGGUUCCUGAAAGGAUGAGACGGCGUCGGCGAAAACGAAAGAUCUGAAACUUAAGGGCUGAGGGGGAGGGAAAUGAGGUAGAAUGAGGAGACACUGACACUUGGUGAGGUGCUAGUAUCUUCUGCCGAGAGACUCAGCAGGUCUUUUUUUUUAUUCAUUAUUAGUAAUAAUAAUAAGCAAAUACAUUAUCAUGUGUAAAGCAAAAACAAUUAGUAUAUUAUGUUUCCCAUAGACUACUGGCCCCUACAGGUCUCAGCUAGACGGCAGCUUUCAAGGUUAAUAGAUAAUAAACCAGACCUAACAUUAAAGCUACUUAUUUUUUCAUUUAGACAAUUAUUUAAAACAGCGAAUAACCGCCAGUGCAUCCCUAUCAGCUAAAGCCUAAGCAUCAAAGGACUCUUCUAUUCACAUGACCUUCAGCCGGAGACCAGCUGCUGCUUAUUUAUCAGAACUUUUUCUACCUACAAACUUCUUAACACAGUUAACUUCAUUUAAAAACUUUCCUAAGAAACUUCUAAAUAAAAAGGAAACUUCUAAAAAUCAAAACAAGGAUAUACUAUAAUUGUUAUGCUGGAUUGCUUGUCAGAUAUAUACAAUAAAUUGUCUCCCAUUGUUAAUUGGGCCGAAUUGUGUAGUAACUAAUUUCUAAACAGGUAAUUUUCUGUGCCAAUUGCUUGCAGUCCACUGAUACAUAUAAUUUAUAGCCCAAUGUACCUUUCUGAUAAAUUUUUCUCUCUCUAUGACCAAGAAUAAAAAGCAAAGGGAUGCCAGAUCUUCAGCCCCACGGUGUGAGGCCUUUUCUCUUAGCUGCUUGUCAGUAUCCUAUCUGGCUGGAGCAACAAGGCCUCCUGCAGCACAGCCCUUGUGGCCUUAGUGAUUCUUUGUCUUUCCUGUUUGUUAAAUAAAUCCCUUAUUGUUGUUCUAUGAAUGUGAGUGGUCUUGCAAUUGUGCACGCGGGUUAAGAACUCAGACAGUGACCUAUAAACUGUUUGGGCACUGUCCUUGGCCAGUUUUAGUGCCUCUUUUGCCCUGUAUCAUCUUUAUUUUGUGCUUUUCCUUUUAGACUUGCCUGGCUGCUUCUACCACUUUCCUAUGAGUCUCCUCCAGAAGGUGCCUUAGUCUUGUUGUAAGCUUUCAGACCUCAGCAGUCCUGCUCUGGGUCAACCCUGUUUGACUGGACAUUUACACCCAAUGGGAUGGUAACUUUGGGUGUUUCAUUUAGUAACUACUUUAACUAUGGUCUUUCUGCACUGUGUGCUUAUUGCACUAAGUGUGCAAUAAAGGAUCUAUUGAGAUCUAUUGAGGAUCUUAUGCAUUAGAGUAUGUCUUUAUGCAAUUGGUGGCAGAACCCAUUUAAAUGUGCAGGUUUGAAGGUCUGGGGUGCUUCUCAUGCAGUCCAUUAUCAUGUCUGAUACAGGGCAGCAAGGGGCACUAAAGCUGGCCAAGGACACUGCCAGAAUAGUUUACCAGUCUGAGUUCUUCCCCCGUGCAUACAAUUACAAGACCACUCAGGCUCAGAGGACAAAAAUAAUGGGGUUUAUUCAAAAAAACAGGGAAAAACAAAGAGUUACUGAGACCACAAAUGGCUGUUUACCUCACCUGAAGCAGGGUCCAGUUUUUUAAAGUCCUAAACACAAAUGUUCCCAAGGAGCGUCUUCCUGCCACUGAGGGCCUGGAGCACGUGGCAGCCAGACUAUAGGCCAGGAUCCAACUCACGAAGACAGCAGAAGACACAGCAGGAGAUGCUCAAUGGAAAUGCUCAGAUGCCCCAGCACAGCACCAGACAAGCAACUCUCAAAACAGCUGCUGCAGCAGCUGAAAGACCUGACAAAUGGCCACACACAAAGCUUAGAGAGAUGCGGGGCUCCAGGUCUCACCUUCCCUGCCAGGCUGUCACAGCAGCAAAACCAGGAACAGUUUCAGUCACUCAGCUACUUGCAAAGCCUCCGAACAUUUCCUCUCUGAGUUUGGCUGCAGAAAGCACAAAUAAAUGGACAAAUAUUCCUUUUCCUUUUGAAAAAGAACAAAUUGCAAAGUUUACAGUACCUGAAUUCAAAAUUUACUAAAGCUGCAUUAAUCAAGACAGUGUGAUACUGGCCUAAGUCCUGACAGUUAUCAAAAGAACAGAGUGUAUGGAACUAGAUACACUUGGGCAAUCACUUAAUUUUUAACAAACACAGCAAAGUAAUGCAAUGGGGUCAAGGAAAACCUUUUCAAUGAAAGGUACGGUAACAAUUGGAUAUUCAACUGGAAAGUUUAUUUAAAAGGAACCUGAAUAUUCUUCAGCAUUGCUCUUAUCCAAUGCUGAAGUGACACAUUAGUAAUGUAUCACUGCUGAUUAGUGUCAGCAAUCAAAACAGUGUUUCCACUAUUCUAGUGCUAUUCCUACUACAGGGAUAGCGCCUUAUCUUCAUUAAAAAAAGCUUUUUAAAUUAUUAAAAUAGCAAUAGUCAUUAAUAACAGUUCCAGUAUUAAAGAAAAAGUACACAAUAACUGUCCAUUAUCAUACAACCCAGGAAUCACUGAAAUUGAGAUGAUGUUUUUAAGCUUCUACAAAUGAUAUCAUAAAAUUUGUAUAAUGCCUUUUUUACCUAAUACUAUUUUGCAUGUGCUUCUUUUUUUAUGAUUUCUUGCAAUUUUAUUAUUUUGUUUGAAUGUAAUGUGACCAUAUUAGCUUUAAUUUCAACUUAUGACAUUUGUAUGUCAUUUUCAUGACAUUUCAUUUCCCAAAGAAAUAAAUUUUAACUGCAAGCUAUAUCUAAAUUGCACAUCUAAUAAACAUCUAUUUCCAGAGUA
Long non-coding RNA from Talpa occidentalis (Iberian mole), 4940 nucleotides. RefSeq lists it as uncharacterized. The transcript has 5 exons. The record is from RefSeq and is a predicted model, not a curated record. NCBI's taxonomy places the organism in Eukaryota, Metazoa, Chordata, Mammalia, Eulipotyphla, Talpidae.